This 379-nucleotide unclassified non-coding RNA is filed under the name soil metagenome. Its description in RNAcentral is "partial contains 5.8S ribosomal RNA, internal transcribed spacer 2, and large subunit ribosomal RNA". The stretch from base 1 to 120 matches the Rfam family "5.8S ribosomal RNA", at positions 35 to 154 of the family's 154-position model. The record is from RNAcentral.
GAUGAAGAACGCAGCGAAAUGCGAUAAGUAAUGUGAAUUGCAGAAUUCAGUGAAUCAUCGAAUCUUUGAACGCACCUUGCACCCUUUGGCAUUCUGAAGGGUAUGCUCGUUUGAGUGUCAUUGUACUCUCACACUCCCGAUCUUUGCAUUGGGAGCAGUGGACUUGGGUUUGCUGCUUCACCGUCGCUUACCUCAAAUAGGUUAGUGCAACUCUUGUUGGACAUAGUACGGCGUGAUAAGUGUUCUUCGCCGGUGCCUCGCAAAGAGGGUGGCCGAUCGGGAUGUUGUGCUCCAAACCGUCUUCGGACAAUCUCUGACGACUUGACCUCAAAUCGAGUAAGACUACCCGCUGAACUUAAGCAUAUCAAUAAGCGGAGGA